AGUCUACCCCCCGGCCUUCUUUCUGCAACAAGUCCGUAGUACACGUGUUGUACACAACCUCUAGUUGAGUCACCCUUAUUUUAGGGGGGGAGCCGUCGGUGUUAUGGAGUAGGUGGAAAGCAAAGCAGCCACUAUCGACCAUACGCUUCCCCGAAUUGCCUUGUUAGUGAACCACAACGUAGCUCAGUCUUUAGGUCAUGCUAAUGUGCAUCAUACAGAGACCUAGCGGGACCCACAUGGCCCUUUGUAGGAGACUCCCCUCUAAAGCAU
This 270-nucleotide long non-coding RNA is filed under the name Capsicum annuum. Its description in RNAcentral is "long non-coding RNA (CANN_LNC020026)". The record is from RNAcentral. Lineage: Eukaryota; Viridiplantae; Streptophyta; Magnoliopsida; Solanales; Solanaceae.